GCCUGUUUAGCUCAGUGGCAGAGCACUGGUCUUGUAAACCAGGGGUCGUGAGUUCAAUCCUCACAAGAGGCA
This 72-nucleotide transfer RNA is filed under the name Onthophagus taurus. RNAcentral describes it as "tRNA-Thr". It matches the Rfam family "tRNA". From Rfam's summary of the family: Transfer RNA (tRNA) molecules are approximately 80 nucleotides in length. Their secondary structure includes four short double-helical elements and three loops (D, anti-codon, and T loops). The record is from RNAcentral. Lineage: Eukaryota; Metazoa; Arthropoda; Insecta; Coleoptera; Scarabaeidae.